UUACCUUCUGUUUUUUUUUCCUUAAGGUGCGUUUUCCUCUGCAUAAUAGAGAGACAGCUUUGGGAGGCCUGAACUAUUGUGUCCUCCCCUGACAACCUGAAUAACCUCUUUGAACAACUCAAGAUUACAGAGGGACUGUGUAAAGGCAGAACUGCAACUCUAACACACUACACUACAUUCCAAAAUAAGAUAACCAGCCAGGUAUGAAGCUUUCACUAAUGCCACCUCCAGCCUUACUGCUAUGAGGUAAGUCAGACUCAUUGUCGCUAUUUUCUCAUUUUUGUUUUGUCUUUGUUUGUUCCUUU
Molecule: long non-coding RNA, 305 nt
Filed under: Lepisosteus oculatus (spotted gar)
Lineage: Eukaryota; Metazoa; Chordata; Actinopteri; Semionotiformes; Lepisosteidae
Description: lncRNA (ENSLOCG00000022468.1)
Source: RNAcentral